Molecule: long non-coding RNA, 389 nt
Organism: Manacus vitellinus (golden-collared manakin)
Lineage: Eukaryota; Metazoa; Chordata; Aves; Passeriformes; Pipridae
Exons: 4
Source: RefSeq, a predicted model, not a curated record
AGCGUGUUGUGGAGCAGGAGGACGAUUUGCCAAUGACUGAGUGUCUUCCAGGGAUUCCUGAUCCAAUGGUCAGGCAUUUGACAGGAUCCAGCUUUUCACUUCUGAUCUACUGUAAGUUAUGGAAUCUGGCUAAUAGGAACAAAUCUGGAUGAGCUGGUUUAUGGAACAAUAAACACAGCAGUUUUAGCAGAUGUAUGGAGGCUGGAUUUGAUGGCUUCUGGCACAUCAGGCUCUCACUCAGGAAGCCCCUGAGCGAGGCAGCGCCGUGUGAACACGAGGAAGGAACUAAAGAGCACUCCUGAAAACUACCUCCUGGAAUGUAAAAAUUCUGAUCUUCGGGAAAGUAAAGGAACUGCUGUGUGAGAUGAAAAAUGUCAAUAUAUUUGGAG